This 77-nucleotide transfer RNA is filed under the name Candidatus Aquicultor primus. RNAcentral describes it as "Actinobacteria bacterium GWC2_53_9 tRNA-Met". It matches the Rfam family "tRNA". From Rfam's summary of the family: Transfer RNA (tRNA) molecules are approximately 80 nucleotides in length. Their secondary structure includes four short double-helical elements and three loops (D, anti-codon, and T loops). Further hydrogen bonds mediate the characteristic L-shaped molecular structure. tRNAs have two regions of fundamental functional importance: the anti-codon, which is responsible for specific mRNA codon recognition, and the 3' end, to which the tRNAs corresponding amino acid is attached (by aminoacyl-tRNA synthetases). tRNAs cope with the degeneracy of the genetic code in two manners: having more than one tRNA (with a specific anti-codon) for a particular amino acid; and 'wobble' base-pairing, i.e. permitting non-standard base-pairing at the 3rd anti-codon position. The record is from RNAcentral. Lineage: Bacteria; Bacillati; Actinomycetota; Candidatus Aquicultoria; Candidatus Aquicultorales; Candidatus Aquicultoraceae.
GGGCCCUUAGCUCAGUUGGUCAGAGCAGGGGACUCAUAAUCCCUUGGUCGUAGGUUCGAAUCCUACAGGGCCCACAA